This 73-nucleotide transfer RNA is filed under the name Candidatus Poribacteria bacterium. Its description in RNAcentral is "tRNA-Thr". It matches the Rfam family "tRNA". From Rfam's summary of the family: Transfer RNA (tRNA) molecules are approximately 80 nucleotides in length. Their secondary structure includes four short double-helical elements and three loops (D, anti-codon, and T loops). The record is from RNAcentral. Lineage: Bacteria; Candidatus Poribacteria.
GCCCACGUAGUUCAGCAGGCAGAACGCCACCUUGGUAAGGUGGAAGUCACCAGUUCAAUUCUGGUCGUGGGCU